GGGUUGUGAGGUUAAGCGACUAAGCGUACACGGUGGAUGCCCUGGCAGUCAGAGGCGAUGAAGGGCGUGCUAAUCUGCGAUAAGCGCCGGUAAGGUGAUAUGAACCGUUAUAACCGGCGAUACCCGAAUGGGGAAACCCAGUGUGAUUCGUCACACUAUCAUUAACUGAAUCCAUAGGUUAAUGAGGCGAACCGGGGGAACUGAAACAUCUAAGUACCCCGAGGAAAAGAAAUCAACCGAGAUUCCCCCAGUAGCGGCGAGCGAACGGGGAGGAGCCCAGAGCCUGAAUCAGCAUGUGUGUUA
RNAcentral lists this ribosomal RNA (303 nucleotides) under Salmonella enterica. Its description in RNAcentral is "partial 23S ribosomal RNA". It matches the Rfam family "Bacterial large subunit ribosomal RNA", at positions 1 to 291 of the family's 2925-position model. Lineage: Bacteria; Pseudomonadati; Pseudomonadota; Gammaproteobacteria; Enterobacterales; Enterobacteriaceae. The record is from RNAcentral.